CGUGUAGGCGGGAAUUUAAGUCAGAUGUGAAAGCCCAUGGCUCAACUGUGGGACUGCAUCUGAAACUAAGUUUCUUGAGUGCUGGAGAGGAAAGCGGAAUUCCUAGUGUAGCGGUGAAAUGCGUAGAUAUUAGGAGGAACACCAGUGGCGAAGGCGGCUUUCUGGACAGUAACUGACGCUGAGGCGCGAAAGUGUGGGGAGCAAACAGGAUUAGAUACCCUGGUAGUCCACACUGUAAACGAUGGAUAUUAGGUGUAGGAGGUAUCGACCCCUUCUGUGCCGCAGUUAACACAAUAAGUAUCCCACCUGGGGAGUACGGCCGCAAGGUUGAA
This 332-nucleotide ribosomal RNA is filed under the name uncultured bacterium. RNAcentral describes it as "bacterial SSU rRNA". It matches the Rfam family "Bacterial small subunit ribosomal RNA", at positions 568 to 898 of the family's 1533-position model. The record is from RNAcentral.